AGGGAUGUAGCGCAGCUUGGUAGCGCGUUUGUUUUGGGUACAAAAUGUCACGGGUUCGAAUCCUACUUGGGGAG
RNAcentral lists this transfer RNA (74 nucleotides) under Phoenix dactylifera (date palm). Its description in RNAcentral is "tRNA-Met". Lineage: Eukaryota; Viridiplantae; Streptophyta; Magnoliopsida; Arecales; Arecaceae. The record is from RNAcentral.